This 1380-nucleotide long non-coding RNA is filed under the name Carassius auratus (goldfish). RNAcentral describes it as "lncRNA (ENSCARG00000000149.1)". Lineage: Eukaryota; Metazoa; Chordata; Actinopteri; Cypriniformes; Cyprinidae. The record is from RNAcentral.
UAUAUGUAUGUAUGUAUAUGUUAAUAUUUUAUUGAAACCAUUGAUGUCCCUCUUUGCAGAACUCAAACUAACUGGAGUUAAGGACACAGAAGUCUGCUUGUGUGAGGAGGUGGUUUUCUCAGCUUCUUCUGAAGAGAGGGAAAGAUCGUUUAAGAACUCAAACCAACUUUGGAGUUGUCUGAUUUGGAGAGUCAUUAUUCUUGGUCUGCGCUCUUAGAGGCCACUGAUGAAGAACAGGCGGUGACUGGGAUGAAUGCUGGUCAGAGAGGAGAAUCUUCUUUCCCCUAAACAGCAGUGGUUUUAAAGGAGGACGCUGCCCUGGAUGAUGUAGAAGAUGUCACAUGCUGUGCUGAUGGGGUUUCUUCAUGAUUACAUCAGUUAUGCUAAAGAGAUCAUGAAAAUUGACCGUGAUGCAUGAUCUGUAUUCAUGGACUAUGAAACAAACUGUAAGUGUAUAAUUUGUUAAAAAAAAAAAAGUUAAAUGCUUUUUCUGUGUUGUUUAGUAGAAAAGUUUACACUCUGUCAUUCAUACACCUGCUCACAUUCUUUCACACACACACACACACACACACACACACACACAUGCGUCUGUUAAAGGUUAUAAUAUCAAAGUUAAUGUUGUGAUUUGUGUACUGUCAUGCCAGAAUAGUUGAAAAAAAAACUAACUAAUUGUAAAUUUAUUGUAUGUGUUUUCGUAUAUUUUUAUACAAUAUAUACAAUUGAACAAAGUCCAAUUUGAUCUUAAGUUAUAUUCAUCAAAUGUUCAAUGCUUUGUUUAUGAACUCUGUAGCUGUUAAUGCCAUCCUUUUCUGCAUUUCUUCUAACAUGUUACUUUUUGACUUUUCUCUUGUUUUUAAUAAAUAUUUUCCUUUUGGUAAUUAUUAUUUGUGUGUAAAAGUGAUAUUUAAAAUGAACAACAUUUGUAGGUUUAAUGCCUAGCUCAAUUUGGGUUAAUUUUAACGUAGAAAUGCAUUGUUUCCCCACAUGGCUGCACUCUGCGAGUUUAUUUUCUGCCAGCAGGAGGCGCUAAGAGCGGGAGAGGUAGGUUUCUCCGGUAACGGCUGCAGAGCGGCGCUGAGCUCACAAACGCUGCCUUAUCAAGCACAUGCGAAAUGAUAUCGAACAUUUUCUAAAUACAGUAGUUUUCCUUCUGAAAUACAGUGAUAAAAAAACACCCGCUCUGUUUUUUUAAACCCUGCAAUAUAGUCAUUUUAAACCAUAAAAAAGGCAACCCAGCAGGCUGGGUUAAAUAUGAUAACCCAACUGGUUGGGUUAAAACAACCCAGCGCUGGGUUCGUCCCUUUUUGACCCAGCGCUGGGUUGUCAAAAUAACCCAAAUUGGGUUGUUUUCAACCCAGCAGUUUUUAGAGUGUGUAUAUA